CAAUAGCGUAUAUUAAAGUUGUUGCAGUUAAAAAGCUCGUAGUUGGAUUUCUGGUGGGAGCGAUCGGUCUGGCGCUUAGCGCGAGUACUUGCAUCGUCUCCGGCCAUCCUUGGGGAGAGUCUGUCUGGCAUUAAGUUGUCGGGCAGAGGAUCCUCAUCGUUUACUGUGAAAAAAUUAGAGUGUUCAAAGCAGGCUUAUGCCGUUGAAUAUAUUAGCAUGGAAUAAUAAGAUAGGACUUUGGUACUAUUUUGUUGGUUUACGCACCAAAGUAAUGAUUAAUAGGGACAGUUGGGGGUAUUCGUAUUCCGUUGUCAGAGGUGGAAUUCUUGGAUUUACGGAAGACGAACUACUGCGAAAGCAUUUACCAAGGAUGUUUUCAUUAA
This 383-nucleotide ribosomal RNA is filed under the name uncultured eukaryote. RNAcentral's name for it is "partial 18S ribosomal RNA". It matches the Rfam family "Eukaryotic small subunit ribosomal RNA", at positions 592 to 976 of the family's 1831-position model. The record is from RNAcentral.